UUCAAAAAUAUCGUUCGAUAUUUGUUCCGCAAUUUAAUUGAACUUUUCCAACAUUGGUUUUAACCACGACAUCUCAUUAAAGCCACUCUCAGCAGAAUACGAUUUUAUUUCAUUCUUUUUAUGACCCCCCCCCCCUCUUCUCCACACAAUACCAUCCUCCCGCCCGACCUUGAAUUAUUCUAAUUAAGCUCAUUACCGUGUGACUUUUGAGAUUCCCGUAGCAGAGCCAGCACUGUAAAAAGCAGCGCGACCUUGGAGACAGUCGGGUAAGGAUGACAGUGCUUUGUUAGUAGGAGGGGGGGGGUCACCGUGGGAGCCGGCUUGUCUCCUACACAGGUAAUUAAUAAGCUUAUUAACUCCUCGACUCAUCAUCAUAAUCAGAAUUGCAGUCGGAGAGGGAGAAUCGACUCGUGAUCAAAUUAAUGAAGAUUGCACACAAUUUAGAGGUGACUGCUGAAGAAGCACGUUGUGCAUAAUUUUUUUAAUGUUGAUGAAUGAAAUAUAUUCCAGCUCACAACAGGAAGUGUUUGUGAGUUUGCAGACCGUUCCGACUUUCAUCUGGAUUCAGGUGCCGUUCCAUACAAGAGGCCUCAACUUGUCUUUGCCCACGGCAUGUGUGUGUGAAUGUUUUGUUUUUUUCCCCCCAUCACCAAACUUGUUUCCACAGGGCUUUGUGUGCCUAUGCAUACUUUGACUCCAAAGGCCAAAGUGGACAAAUUGGAGCCGACACUUGGAGAAGGACCCCGUAACCUGGACGCUAGUGGGAGACAGACCUGACAAGAAGUCUGAUUAUCCACGACGACGGGGGAGAAGACGUGGCAUUCCUGCUUUAUCCUUGCCACACAGCGCCGUAAAGAUAAAGAGAACAUUACACGGUUGAGAAUCAAGGACAAUGUGAUGCCGAGCCGUUGUUGAAACGAUGACUCGGAGCUAUUGUUCUUAAAUGAACAGGAAAAUGGAAUUAUGGAUGGUUGUGGAGCGAAGAGGUCAAGUCUAACCAUCUGACCCCCCUCGUGCGCUCCACUCAAUGGCAUGACAGGUUCAUUACAAGCAUCCAGACCAGAGAAAUCAAUCCCCGAAAGGUCUGCUCCUGACGGCCCCCCCACUAGCACCACCACCUUUCAUUCUUUUCACUUCUGCACUUAGUGUGUGGGAUCGAUAUUAGUGGAGAGGGAAAGGGCUUCUUCUGAUGAAAGCAAUUCGAGCUGUUCAUGAGGCACAUUCUCUGCAAUGUUCAGCACUGCCACUGAGGGCCAGUAAAGUGCUACAUGCAAGCAUGGAAAAUUCAGGAAUGUUUCCAAGCAGUGGGAAGUAUUCAUAUUUUUGUGCACCUUUUAUUUUUUGAUAGAAUUUUAAUUUUAUCACCUGCAUUAAAAAACAUAUAUCUGUAUGCAAAAUACGACUCCUUAGUUUUUCCAAUUGCAGAGAAUGAUGUUUAAAAAAAUGGAAACAGGGUUAUUUUA
This is a long non-coding RNA of Syngnathus acus (greater pipefish), 1463 nucleotides long. RefSeq lists it as uncharacterized. NCBI's taxonomy places the organism in Eukaryota, Metazoa, Chordata, Actinopteri, Syngnathiformes, Syngnathidae. The record is from RefSeq and is a predicted model, not a curated record. The transcript is spliced from 3 exons.